This 383-nucleotide ribosomal RNA is filed under the name uncultured eukaryote. RNAcentral's name for it is "partial 18S ribosomal RNA". It matches the Rfam family "Eukaryotic small subunit ribosomal RNA", at positions 592 to 976 of the family's 1831-position model. The record is from RNAcentral.
CAAUAGCGUAUAUUAAAGUUGUUGCAGUUAAAAAGCCCGUAGUUGGAUUUCUGGUAGGAGCGACCGUGCCGAACUUGAUUGUUCGAGUAUUGUGUUGUCUUCAGCCAUCCUCGUGGAGAACUUUUCUAACAUUAACUUGUUGGGAUUGGGACCCGCGUCGUUUACUGUGAAAAAAUUAGAGUGUUUAAAGCAGGCAUUAGCUUGAAUACAUUAGCAUGGAAUAAUAAGAUAGGACUUUGGUACUAUUUUGUUGGUUUGCAUACCAAAUCAAUGAUCAACAGGAACAGUUUGAGGAUAUUCGUAUGAACAUGUCAGAGGUGAAAUUCUUGGAUUUUGAUCAGACGAACUACUGCGAAAGCAUUUAUCAAGGAUGUUUUCAUUAA